AGAGUUUGAUCCUGGCUCAGAUUGAACGCUGGCGGCAUGCCUUACACAUGCAAGUCGAACGGCAGCACGGGAGUAAUCCUGGUGGCGAGUGGCGAACGGGUGAGUAAUAUAUCGGAACGUGCCCAGUCGUGGGGGAUAACGUAGCGAAAGCUACGCUAAUACCGCAUACGAUCUAUGGAUGAAAGCGGGGGAUCGCAAGACCUCGCGCGAUUGGAGCGGCCGAUAUCAGAUUAGGUAGUUGGUGGGGUAAAGGCUCACCAAGCCGACGAUCUGUAGCUGGUCUGAGAGGACGACCAGCCACACUGGGACUGAGACACGGCCCAGACUCCUACGGGAGGCAGCAGUAGGGAAUUUUGGACAAUGGGCGCAAGCCUGAUCCAGCAAUGCCGCGUGCAUGAUGAAGGCCUUCGGG
RNAcentral lists this ribosomal RNA (412 nucleotides) under uncultured bacterium. RNAcentral's name for it is "bacterial SSU rRNA". It matches the Rfam family "Bacterial small subunit ribosomal RNA", at positions 8 to 422 of the family's 1533-position model. The record is from RNAcentral.